RNAcentral lists this long non-coding RNA (384 nucleotides) under Homo sapiens (human). RNAcentral's name for it is "HSALNT0361703". The record is from RNAcentral. Lineage: Eukaryota; Metazoa; Chordata; Mammalia; Primates; Hominidae.
AUUGUGUACCCUCUCCCCGCUUUGUAUCCCUGCCCUGAGGGCCUCACAGCCAGAUCUCCUGAGAGCAGAGUGAAGAGGAAGCUCAGUAUUUCUCAGGCAGGCCAGCAGGUCGGAAGUGAUUGGGGUCUUUGCCACUCCUGCCCCAUUCAUUGGCAGCCUGAUCGGCUCAGACAAAUACUUCCAUGCUCGGGGGAACUAUGAUGCUGCCAAAAGGGGACCUGGGGGUGCCUGGGCCGUGGUGCGGAGGACUCGCUGGCCGAUCAGGCUGCCAAUAAAUGGGGCAGGAAGUGGCAAAGACCCCAAUCACUUCCGACCUGCUGGCCUGCCAGAGAAAUACUGAGCUUCCUUUUCAAUCUGCUCUCAGGAGACCUGGCUGUGAGCCCC